RNAcentral lists this ribosomal RNA (511 nucleotides) under Cervidellus vexilliger. Its description in RNAcentral is "eukaryotic LSU rRNA". It matches the Rfam family "Eukaryotic large subunit ribosomal RNA", at positions 655 to 1146 of the family's 3401-position model. Lineage: Eukaryota; Metazoa; Nematoda; Chromadorea; Rhabditida; Cephalobidae. The record is from RNAcentral.
UGAAACACGGACCAAGGAGUCUAGCGUGUACGCGAGUCAUUGGGUGGUAAACCCAUAGGCGAAAUGAAAGUGAAGGUCUCGCAAGAGGCUUAUAUGCGAUCCACUGGCCCACGGGUUGGCGGAGCAGCAUAGCCCCGUCCUAAUGGCUUGCCAUAGGGCGGCGGAAGAGCGUAUGCGCUGGUACCCGAAAGAUGGUGAACUAUGCCUGAGCAGGAUGAAGCCAGGGGAAACCCUGGUGGAGGUCCGAAGCGCUUCUGACGUGCAAAUCGAUCGUCUGACUUGGGUAUAGGGGCGAAAGACUAAUCGAACCAUCUAGUAGCUGGUUCCCUCCGAAGUUUCCCCCAGGAUAGCUGGAGCCUGGACAGUUAUACUCGGUAAAGCGAACGAUUAGAGGACUUGGGGUCAAAAGACCUUAACCUAUUCUCAAACUCUCAAUGGGUAUGAAGUGUGGGUUGCUUAAUUGAACUCGCACGUUGAAUGUGGGCUCCAAGUGGGCCAUUUUUGGUAAGCA